UUUUCGGCCAAAACGCGGCGCUAUUGAUUCAGUUUUAAAUCAUUAAUUUUUUUAUCUAAAUUUACCAUUGUUUGAGUGUUUUCACAUAAUGCUGUCUCUUUCUGUUCAUCAUAAUAAUCAUAAAGCAUUUUUCAAAAUGUUUUGUCGGUUUAGUGGUGGUAUCAUUUUAAAAUGGUGUAUUCAAAUCAUCAUUUUGUUAAUAUUCCACACGUUAAUUAUUAACGGAAAUGAAUCACCAUUACUUUUGAAACAAUUUGCUCAUUUAAGUUCGCUAAAAGGAUCAGAUAUAGUGUUCACUUGUAAUGUGGCCAAAAAGUCAACACAUGAAGUGUUGUGUGAUUUAAAUGAUAGUUGUAAUUAUUAAUUCGUUUUUUUCGUUCGAUCAAUAAAGUCAUAUUUUGAUACUCGAGAUUAAUUUGUUUAAUAAAUAAUUGGGGGGCAAAUUUAUAAGUGAUCGGACAAUUAUGGUCCCUAUCACUAUCCUCCCCAACAAAUAGGUUUUAUAAGCGAGGGGGAGGCAAAUUUAUAAGUGAUUGUCCACUAUCCACCCCCAACACUGACUAUUUUUUAAAUUAAUUUAUAUGUAAUGUGUAAAUGUGUAUAUAAAUAAUUGGGGGGCAAAUUUAUAAGUGAUCG
Molecule: non-coding RNA, 636 nt
Organism: Dermatophagoides farinae (American house dust mite)
Lineage: Eukaryota; Metazoa; Arthropoda; Arachnida; Sarcoptiformes; Pyroglyphidae
Source: RefSeq, a predicted model, not a curated record